AGUUAAUAAGUUUAAUAAUAAACAUAUAUUUUGAAAAUAUAAAAUAAAAGAUAAAAACUUUUAUUAACUU
RNAcentral lists this transfer RNA (70 nucleotides) under Nanhuaphasma hamicercum. RNAcentral describes it as "tRNA-Ser". Lineage: Eukaryota; Metazoa; Arthropoda; Insecta; Phasmatodea; Aschiphasmatidae. The record is from RNAcentral.